ACAGAUUUUUGCUGGCUUUGUGAACAGCCACAGGUGUGCCAUUUGCACUGGCCAUGUCUUUGAAAGUAUACUUGUGCACUAAUUAACUGCUCCUCACCUGAUGCAGACGUUGCUAUUUCCAUUUGAGAUGCGAGGCCAUCAAGGUGUUUAUAACUUGGAAAAGAAGAUAUAUGAAGCUGCUGUUAGAGGUCUCAUUCCAGUUAAAGGCCCAAUGCCAGUAAAAUUUCCCCUUCCAAAUCCUCGUGAUCCUUUUUCCUUAAAACCAGGGUCUAUUUCAGUGCUAUUCCCUGAGAAAGCUUCUGAAGUGGAGAAAUCAUCAAGUCUCACAGCAGCCAUUGCUGUUGCAUGUGCAGCAGCUACUCAAUUCAACAUGAAAGAUCAAGAUCUCCUAGCAAAUACUGUCCAGAUUAACAAUUUUAAGAAGUGACCAAGUGAACAGCAAACCUUUGGAAGAACAUAAAAAGCUUAUAUGAAGUCUCCAAUGUCAUACCUUCAGUGUCAAAUGAGGCAGAACAAAGCAAUCUCAUCCAGUGUGAGGAAAGCAGUUGCCAAAGUCGAACGCGUAUUCCUGGAGCUCCUGCUAAGGUGUGAAUCCUACUCCUUUAACCUAUAUUCAUUGGUAGUACUUUUUUCCUUAAGUUCUUAAUAAUUUUGUUCUAUGAUCUGUAACAGGCUGUUGCAUCUAAUUCUUAAUACUCAAUGCAAGUCCAAAUUCAUUUGGACUCAUGUUUGGUCAUGAUAAAAAUUAUAGGUAUUGGAUCUAGAUGCUCUUCUGCUAGUUCAGAUUACCUUGAAAGGGUUCUAAUUGGAUCUCUCUCUGAGCUUGGUUUAAUUUUUUUUUAUUUUCUUAUUAUUUUUAUUUGGUGGGACUUGUGUUGUUCUAUUCCUGUGUCAUAAGGUCUAUUGUGAAUAUGCUAUAUUGUUUAAGUGAAUGGAAACAUGUGAUACAAGCAAAACCUAUCUGACCUCAGGCUUGUCUUGCAAGUUACAUUGCCCAAGAAAUAUAUAUCAAAUAAUUUUUCAGGAUGAAGUUUGAGGCUUGUUUGUUGAUUGAUUAAAAUUGAGGUCAGCAUCUAAUUCACAUUGGUCUCUAUAAGUAGUAUGGAGAAGUAGAUAUCACUGAUGAGAGUCAACUGUAACCAUUCUCAUGCAUAAAGAAAGGCUGCUCUGUAUGCACAAGGCUCCCUGCUGUGUAAGGGUCAGGAACUCCUAGUCUAUUAAGGAGCAACCUUAAAUGGAAAAUUGGAACUUGGUUGAGAACAAAGUAAAUGCUUUCUGAAAGAAACAGAAGACAGAAAAACAGACUUUGUUGAUUUUCAUAUGAUUGUUGAUUCAGUGUCCAUUAUUUGACAAGUCUCAUCUUUGGAUUUCUAGAUUUUUUGCUGCUGCUGUUAGAGGGCUGAAGCCAUCCUGAAUUCACGUUGGUUGCUAUGGGAAUAAGUUUUGAACACUAACAGAAGUGACAUGUAGUUCAUUUUUGUUGCGAAAAUUCAAGUCAGCCUCCCAUCAGUUGAAUAUUACUGACUAGCUUGUUACUUUUUGCUGUAUUUUAUUCUUAGCACCCGUGACUAAUUAUUGACAGAUUUGGAUUGAAACUAGCUCAUACUGUGCUCAUAGAAUUGUGGUAAGAGGCUGGAAUUUUUUUUUUGGAAAAAUAUUAUUAAAAAAGUAAUGUGAAAAAAGUUAAUUAAA
This 1692-nucleotide unclassified non-coding RNA is filed under the name Hevea brasiliensis (rubber tree). Lineage: Eukaryota; Viridiplantae; Streptophyta; Magnoliopsida; Malpighiales; Euphorbiaceae. The record is from RNAcentral.